Etheostoma cragini (Arkansas darter) is the source of this 230-nucleotide long non-coding RNA. RefSeq lists it as uncharacterized. NCBI's taxonomy places the organism in Eukaryota, Metazoa, Chordata, Actinopteri, Perciformes, Percidae. The transcript has 3 exons. The record is from RefSeq and is a predicted model, not a curated record.
GUUAUCUUUUUCUAUGUAACUGACACUAUUGCUGGAGACACGGUGUGUGUGUGAUAUGUUUGUGUGUGUGUGUGUGUGUGUGUGUGUGUGUGUGUGUGUGUGAGUGUGUGUGUUCAGGGUCGGCAGCGCUGGAUGAAUCGGGGGUACAGGCAGACGUCUCUGAUGUGAUGUCUGUUCAGUAGCCAAGUGAGGAAACGCUCCAGACCCAGACCAUAACCGCCGUGAGGGCA